Zingiber officinale is the source of this 313-nucleotide long non-coding RNA. RefSeq lists it as uncharacterized. The transcript is spliced from 3 exons. The record is from RefSeq and is a predicted model, not a curated record. NCBI's taxonomy places the organism in Eukaryota, Viridiplantae, Streptophyta, Magnoliopsida, Zingiberales, Zingiberaceae.
GACCAGUGCUUCUUGAAUUAUCUUUGAAGGUUUGGAAUCUUCAACCCAGCAGUCGUGUAUGAUCACCUGGGAGAAAUUUAUUCAGCACUUAUUCUGGGAAGCUUAGUGUUCUGCAUUUUGUUAUACUUGAAAGGUCAUUUGGCACCAUCUUCUUCGGAUUCUGGUUCAUUAGGGAACUUCAUAAUUGAUUUUUAUUGGGGCAUGGAACUGUAUCCUCGUAUCGGCAAAAACUUUGACAUCAAGGUUUUUACAAACUGCCGAUUUGGUAUGAUGUCCUGGGCUGUUCUUGCCGUCACAUAUUGCAUCAAACAGG